AGUUUGAUCAUGGCUCAGAUUGAACGCUGGCGGCAUGCCUUACACAUGCAAGUCGAACGGCAGCGCGGGGCAACCUGGCGGCGAGUGGCGAACGGGUGAGUAAUAUAUCGGAACGUGCCCUGGAGUGGGGGAUAACGCAGCGAAAGUUGCGCUAAUACCGCAUACGAUCUAAGGAUGAAAGCGGGGGAUUCGCAAGAACCUCGUGCUCCUGGAGUGGCCGAUAUCUGAUUAGCUAGCUGGUGGGGUAAAGGCCUACCAAGGCAUCGAUCAGUAGCUGGUCUGAGAGGACGACCAGCCACACUGGAACUGAGACACGGUCCAGACUCCUACGGGAGGCAGCAGUGGGGAAUUUUGGACAAUGGGCGCAAGCCUGAUCCAGCAAUGCCGCGUGAGUGAAGAAGGCCUUCGGGUUGUAAAGCUCUUUUGUCAGGGAAGAAACGGUGCGGGCUAAUAUCCCGCACUAAUGACGGUACCUGAAGAAUAAGCACCGACUAACUACGUGCCAGCAGCCGCGGUAAUACGUAGGGUGCAAGCGUUAAUCGGAAUUACUGGGCGUAAAGCGUGCGCAGGCGGUUUUGUAAGUUUGUCGUGAAAUCCCCGG
RNAcentral lists this ribosomal RNA (601 nucleotides) under uncultured bacterium. RNAcentral's name for it is "bacterial SSU rRNA". It matches the Rfam family "Bacterial small subunit ribosomal RNA", at positions 10 to 606 of the family's 1533-position model. The record is from RNAcentral.